Long non-coding RNA from Gadus macrocephalus (Pacific cod), 830 nucleotides. RefSeq lists it as uncharacterized. Lineage: Eukaryota; Metazoa; Chordata; Actinopteri; Gadiformes; Gadidae. The transcript has 2 exons. The record is from RefSeq and is a predicted model, not a curated record.
CCCUUCAUACUCCCUCCGUCCGGUUUAGCGUUGUUAUGGCUGUUACGCUAAACGUCCUCUAGAGGGCAGUGACUGUCCUGUCGCAAAUUAACGGCAUCCACAAUCGCAAACAUGGCAUCUGUACAGGAGAUGGCUUUGCUUUGUGUCAUCCGAAAUCGGGAAAAAUUGCACAAAAAGUGAAGGCAUGCGACACCCCCACCAACCCGCAGAUUAAAAAAAAUCCAUUUUUGAAUGUCCAGUCAUUGCCAAAGCAGGUGAACAACAAAAAGGUCAGGUAUAUAGUAUAAUAUACACAUAAAACAUAAUUAAUACAAAUUAAACACAAAAUAUAUAUACAUAACAGAUAUUAUACUACUCUCUCUAUAUUUUUGCGAAUGGUUGGUCUUCUGACUCUUUACGGCCUCCUCGACUCCCGUUGGUAUCGCUCCUCGUAAGCCCAGAGAAGACGGACCCACUGACACAACGACCCCCGGACCGGACGGACGGGUCCCAAGGGUCUGCUCCCUAAGGGUCUGCUGCCCUGAGGGUCUGCUCCCUAAGGGUCUGCUGCCCUGAGGGUCUGCUCCCUGAGGGUCUGCUCCCUGAGGGUCUGCUGCCCUGAGGGUCUGCUCCCUGAGGGUCUGCUCCCUGAGGGUCUGCUGCCCUGAGGGUCUGCUGCCCUGAGGGUCUGCUCCCUGAGGGUCUGCUCACCUGAGGGUCCAUGAGGGACAGUGAGACCCUCCAUCUCUGGGAGGGAGUCAUGGUUCUAAACAGGAGGCCGCUGUUCAACCUGAAGAACCAGAGUGAAGGAGUUUCACCUCCGGCUCCGGAGUUUAGACUCACGACCUGAC